This 776-nucleotide ribosomal RNA is filed under the name uncultured Neocallimastigales. RNAcentral's name for it is "partial large subunit ribosomal RNA". It matches the Rfam family "Eukaryotic large subunit ribosomal RNA", at positions 24 to 643 of the family's 3401-position model. The record is from RNAcentral. Lineage: Eukaryota; Fungi; Neocallimastigomycota; Neocallimastigomycetes; Neocallimastigales.
UAUCUCUGUAGAGUCUGCAUAUCAAUAAGCGGAGGAAAAGAAACUAACUAGGAUUCCCUUCAGUAACGGCGAGUGAAGCGGGAAGAGCUCAAAUUUGAAAUCUUCAAGGUUCUACCUUGACGAAUUGUAGUUUAAAGAAGUGUUUUCUGUUGGUAGUUUUGGUAAAAGUUCUUUGGAAUAGGACAUCAUAGAGGGUGAGAAUCCCGUAUUUGACCAUUACUUCCAGCGUUGUGAUACACUUUCAAAGAGUCGGAUUGUUUGGGAAUGCAGUCCAAAAUGGGUGGUAAAUUUCAUCUAAAGCUAAAUAUUGGCGAGAGACCGAUAGCGAACAAGUACCGUGAGGGAAAGAUGAAAAGAACUUUGAAAAGAGAGUUAAACAGUACGUGAAAUUGUCAAAAGGGAAGCGUUUGACACCAGUGUUGUUUUUCCGAAAAUCAAUUACGAAUGGCUUGAUUCUGUGUUGUAUUGACCUUAUCAGCUUUCUUCACUUUUUUCGAGUCUUUCUUAAUGCACUUUUCGGUUAACAAGUCAACAUCAAUUUCUUUUGUUGUAAAAGAGUAUUCGGAAGGUGGCUUUCUUUUCGGAGAAAGUGUUUAUAGCCCUAUACUUCUACAAUCGGAGAGAUUGAGGUCUGCAGCGUAGAUCCUUCGGGGUUAGAUACACUUGUGCUAAGUUGUAGCUUUUCAUAGACAACUUGUUGACUAUGUUUAGUCAUGCGGCUUACUCGCUUGUGCUAUUUUACCUACGCUUAGGAUGUUGAAGAUGUAGCACAUCAU